GUCCUGAACCAGCAGCAUCUAGUCUGAGUCCUUGUGCUGAACGCUAUCUUGUUUUCUCCCUGUCUCAGCCACAGAAUACCUGCCUGAUCUCGGACUCUCCCCUGAGACACAGAACUCCCUGAGCAUAGGAGCCCGGCCCUCGUCGCCGUCGGAACAAAUGCAGCUCACAGUCCCAAACAGAGCAGGCUGCACUUUAUGUUGCAAAACAGCUCCGUUUCCACUCGUCACAGCUGUCUGGACUCACAGCGCGGCGGAGUUGAUCUGAAAGCUGGAUGUGGCAUGAUUGCGGUGGUCCUGCUCCUGAACCUCUGCUAGAUAAUUCCAAUAAAUACCAGCAAGUGGAACCAAAGACAGUUUGAUUAAAAUUGAGAUAAUUUGAGAAAAGCAGAUUUUUAUUUAAAGCACUUUGAAAAAUGAACAUCCAGGUUUGAGUGUUAUUUUUGCUUUUCUUUUAUUUGUGAACGACAUCUCUGAUAUACGUUGACACUUGUUUGUUCCAACAUCUUCCCUCAGGACUG
Molecule: long non-coding RNA, 518 nt
Organism: Micropterus dolomieu (smallmouth bass)
Lineage: Eukaryota; Metazoa; Chordata; Actinopteri; Centrarchiformes; Centrarchidae
Exons: 3
Source: RefSeq, a predicted model, not a curated record